CGGUAAUUCCAGCUCCAAUAGCGUAUACUAAUGUUGUUGCAGUUAAAAAGCUCGUAGUCGGAUUUCAGUGUUCGCUUAGCUUUCACUUAGUGUCAGUCUUCGCUACACUUCUUUGACGAUAACCUGCAUCGCCUUGAUUGGUGGUGUUUGGACUAUUGUCUCUUUUACUUUGAGAAAAUUAGAGUGUUCAAAGCAGGUUUUCACGCCUGAAUAUUACUCUUGGAAUAAUAACAUAUGACUUUGGUUUUUAUUUGUUGGUGAUUUGAGACCGAAGUAAUGAUUGCCAGGGACGGUUGGGGCCAUUCGUACUGCAAAGCGAGAGGUGAAAUUCUUGGACCUUUGCAUGACGAACUACUGCGAAAGCAUUUGGCUAGGACGUUCCCGUUGAUCAAGAACGAAAGUUGGGGGAUCGAAGACGAUCAGAUACCGUCGUAGUCUCAACCAUAAACUAUGCCAGCUAGGGAUUGGUGGAUGUUUCUCUAACGACUCCAUCAGCACCUUAUGAGAAAUCAAAGCAUUUGGGUUCCGGGGGGAGUAUGGUCGCAAGGCUGAAACUUAAAGGAAUUGACGGGAGGGCACCACCAGGAGUGGAGCCUGUGGCUUAAUUUGAUUCAACACGGGAAAACUUACCAGGUCCGGACAUGGGAAGGAUUGACAGAUUGAAAGCUCUUUCUUGAUUCUAUGGGGUGGUGGUGCAUGUCCGUUCUUAGUUGGUGGAGUGAUUGGUCAGGUUAAUUCCGUUAACGAACGAGACCUCAGCCUAUUAAAUAGUUGCUGUCUUUUCAAAGGCAUUGCAUACUUAUUAGAGGGAUUACUUCCCAACCAAGCAAGCGGAAGCUCGAGGCAAUAUCAGGUCUGUGAUGCCAUUAGAUGUUCUGGGCCGCACACGGGCUACACUGGUGUUCUCACCAAGCCUUACUACCUUAACCGAAAGGUUCGGGUAAUCUUUGAAAUAACACCGUGCUUGGGAUAGACUAUUGCAAUUUUUAGUCUUCAGCGAGGAAUUCAUAGUAAACUCAAGUCAUCACCUUGCAUUGAUUACGUCCCUGCCCUCUGUACACACCUCCCGUCGCUCCUAUCGAUGGGAUGAUUCGGUAAGCUCUUGGGAUUGAUUGCUUCCCAAGCACUGCUUCGGGUUAAGACUAACCUGAUCAAACCUAAUCAUCUAGAGGAAGGAGAAGUCAUAGGCAAGGUAUACCGU
This 1201-nucleotide ribosomal RNA is filed under the name uncultured Rhizaria. RNAcentral's name for it is "SSU rRNA". It matches the Rfam family "Eukaryotic small subunit ribosomal RNA", at positions 577 to 1806 of the family's 1831-position model. The record is from RNAcentral.